UGGGGAAUUUUGGACAAUGGGGGCAACCCUGAUCCAGCGACGCCGCGUGAACGAUGAAGCCCUUCGGGGUGUAAAGUUCUUUCGGCAGGAACGAUAAUGACGGUACCUGAAGAAGAAGCUGCGGCUAACUACGUGCCAGCAGCCGCGGUAAUACGUAGGCAGCAAACGUUGUUCGGAGUUACUGGGCGUAAAGAGUACGUAGGCGGUUUGCCAAGUUUGGUGUGAAAUCUCCUGGCUUAACUGGGAGGGUGCGCCGAAUACUGGCAGACUUGAGUAUUGGAGAGGAAAGCGGAAUUCCUGGUGUAGCGGUGAAAUGCGUAGAUAUCAGGAGGAACACCGGUGGUGUAGACGGCUUUCUGGACAAUCACUGACGCUGAGGUACGAAAGCGUGGGUAGCAAACAGGAUUAGAUACCCUUGUAGUCCCUGAGCGGGCUGGCAAGGCGCAU
This 447-nucleotide ribosomal RNA is filed under the name uncultured bacterium. RNAcentral's name for it is "bacterial SSU rRNA". It matches the Rfam family "Bacterial small subunit ribosomal RNA", at positions 355 to 825 of the family's 1533-position model. The record is from RNAcentral.